This 392-nucleotide ribosomal RNA is filed under the name uncultured bacterium. RNAcentral describes it as "partial 16S ribosomal RNA". It matches the Rfam family "Bacterial small subunit ribosomal RNA", at positions 523 to 917 of the family's 1533-position model. The record is from RNAcentral.
AUACGGAGGAUCCGAGCGUUAUCCGGAUUUAUUGGGUUUAAAGGGAGCGUAGGUGGAUUGUUAAGUCAGUUGUGAAAGUUUGCGGCUCAACCGUAAAAUUGCAGUUGAACCUGGGAGUCUUGAGUACAGUAGAGGUGGGCGGAAUUCGUGGUGUAGCGGUGAAAUGCUUAGAUAUCACGAAGAACUCCGAUUGCGAAGGCAGCUCACUAGACUGUUACUGACACUGAUGCUCGAAAGUGUGGGUAUCAAACAGGAUUAGAUACCCUGGUAGUCCACACAGUAAACGAUGAAUACUCGCUGUUUGCGAUAUACAGUAAGCGGCCAAGCGAAAGCAUUAAGUAUUCCACCUGGGGAGUACGCCGGCAACGGUGAAACUCAAAUGAAUUGGCGGG